This 655-nucleotide long non-coding RNA is filed under the name Anas platyrhynchos platyrhynchos (common mallard). RNAcentral's name for it is "lncRNA (ENSAPLG00000019513.1)". The record is from RNAcentral. Lineage: Eukaryota; Metazoa; Chordata; Aves; Anseriformes; Anatidae.
GCACAACAAGACUAAUUUUGUCUGUCUAUAAAAUGUUUUCAUGGUAUACAAUUUCCUUGAUAUUUUGACAGACCAGACUUAUGUAUAUAUAAAUAUUUGUGGUUGCUAAGCUACCAAAUAUAUUUAUUUUAGACCUUGUAUAAUGUUAUUUUGAGGCAGAAUAUAUUGCUUUUUUAGACCUCAUAGUGAGAGAGGUUUACAGAUUAAUGUAUGCUUUUCUGUUGUUUCCAGUGCAAGUCUUUCUUGAAGUGCACAGAGAUCUUCCCAUUUUGUAUUUUCAUCUGAGUAUCUGGUUCCACUCUUCAGUUAGCAAAGGCCAGUCGAACAGAGUGCAGAUGGGCAGCAGUCAUGAAUCAUAGGAGCCCUGUAGUUUCUAUGAACUCAGAUGUUUUCAGGAUAUCAGCUGUGAAAAUCAUGCAUUCACAAGAAUUGAAGCUGUCUGGCAAUCCCUGGAGGUAAGCAAGGCUACAUUUUCAAGCAUGAGUAUGAACAGUGAUGAAAAAUGUGGGCAUUUGUGUACCAAGCAAAUGCAACUGCUGAAAAAUUUAUCCCAUCUCCAGGUUGGCUCUCAUAACAAUGUAGUAUGAAAAUAUCACUGGAAGUAUUCAUAAUGAAUAUUAAUAAAAAAAUAAAUCAAACUCCUGAAGAUUUAGAA